AUUGAACGCUGGCGGCAUGCCUUACACAUGCAAGUCGAACGGCAGCACGGGUGCUUGCACCUGGUGGCGAGUGGCGAACGGGUGAGUAAUACAUCGGAACGUACCUUAUCGUGGGGGAUAACGCAGCGAAAGCUGUGCUAAUACCGCAUACGCCCUGAGGGGGAAAGCGGGGGAUCGAAAGACCUCGCGCGAUUAGAGCGGCCGAUGCCUGAUUAGCUUGUUGGUGGGGUAAAAGCCCACCAAGGCGACGAUCAGUAGCUGGUCUGAGAGGACGAUCAGCCACACUGGGACUGAGACACGGCCCAGACUCCUACGGGAGGCAGCAGUGGGGAAUUUUGGACAAUGGGGGCAACCCUGAUCCAGCAAUGCCGCGUGAGUGAAGAAGGUCUUCGGGUUGUAAAGCUCUUUUGUCAGGGAAGAAACACCGGCUCUAACACAGUCCGGGAAUGACGGUACCUGAAGAAUAAGCACCGGCUAACUACGUGCCAACAGCAGCCGCCG
This 501-nucleotide ribosomal RNA is filed under the name uncultured bacterium. Its description in RNAcentral is "partial 16S ribosomal RNA". It matches the Rfam family "Bacterial small subunit ribosomal RNA", at positions 29 to 520 of the family's 1533-position model. The record is from RNAcentral.